GAUGAACGCUGGCGGCGUGCCUAAUACAUGCAAGUCGAGCGAAUGGAUUAAGAGCUUGCUCUUAUGAAGCUAGCGGCGGACGGGUGAGUAACACGUGGGUAACCUGCCCAUAGGACUGGGAUAACUCCGGGAAACCGGGGCUAAUACCGGAUAACAUUUUGAACCGCAUGGUUCGAAAUUGAAAGGCGGCUUCGGCUGUCACUUAUGGAUGGACCCGCGUCGCAUUAGCUAGUUGGUGAGGUAACGGCUCACCAAGGCAACGAUGCGUAGCCGACCUGAGAGGGUGAUCGGCCACACUGGGACUGAGACACGGCCCAGAGUCCUACGGGAGGCAGCAGUAGGGAAUCUUCCGCAAUGGACGAAAGUCUGACGGAGCAACGCCGCGUGAGUGAUGAAGGCUUUCGGGUCGUAAAACUCUGUUGUUAGGGAAGAACAAGUGCUAGUUGAAUAAGCUGGCACCUUGACGGUACCUAACCAGAAAGCCACGGCUAACUACGUGCCAGCCGCCGCAGUAA
This 515-nucleotide ribosomal RNA is filed under the name uncultured bacterium. RNAcentral's name for it is "partial 16S ribosomal RNA". It matches the Rfam family "Bacterial small subunit ribosomal RNA", at positions 28 to 523 of the family's 1533-position model. The record is from RNAcentral.